GAAAUCCGGAUUGUUGCGAAACAACUUAAUCUUUUCAUCACCUCUAGAGACACACCUAAAGACGGCCAAACACCAGCGAGGAUAGUCGACUAAAAUGGUCAAAACAUUCAAAUUACAUAGCACAAAUAUAUUGUUUAUUUGAUGUUAAGGUUAAUUGUGUAUUGUUUUCUAGAGGCCUACAGAGUAAUAAAUCUUUAGUUUCUUUUCCGAUCAUUUUUGUCUGCUUAUUUUCAGUUUUAGUUAAAUAUGUACUUACACUUCAAUUGUUCCAUCGUUUUAUCACAGGUUGUUGCAGGGAGGUAAAUAAAAGCAUGUUACAUGAAACAUUUAUUGAAAUAUUUUUUGUUUGAUAGUUUUAAGAUAUAAAUAUUACUAUACUACAUUUUUUAUUUAUUUUUUGCUUCUUUCAAAGAAUGAGCACUUUUGCAAUAAGCUCAUGAUAACUGCUAACUUUAGUAAGUGAUAUUGCAAUCAUCAGAUUUUUGUUUUGUUUUUUUAUACUCCAAAAUAUAAUUGAUAUACAUAAAUAUUACGCUCAUCUCACAUCAUCCCUUGGAAAUCUGAAUUAAACUUUAAAAAUGUAUUCGGCAAUUACAACAACAACAAAAAAGGUGCAAAAUUUUAAGUAUGUCAAAUUGUAAAAUUUCACCGCAUAACAAAAGGUUGGACCCUUUUAUAAAAAUGUUUCCACUUUUUAGAAAUAACAUUUCAGAACUCACAAAAAUUACAAAAAAAUAAAAUAAUUGGUCUAUUUAAUGCAAUAUUAUCGCAAGUAAAAAUAGCAAUAGUUAAAAAUUGAAACAAAAACAGAUGUGCAUUUUCAAAAAAAAAAAAAAACACUAUUUAAA
Molecule: long non-coding RNA, 848 nt
Organism: Cimex lectularius (bed bug)
Lineage: Eukaryota; Metazoa; Arthropoda; Insecta; Hemiptera; Cimicidae
Exons: 2
Source: RefSeq, a predicted model, not a curated record